CGAACGCUGGCGGCGUGCCUAAUACAUGCAAGUCGAGCGAGCUUGCCUAGAUGAUUUUAGUGCUUGCACUAAAUGAAACUAGAUACAAGCGAGCGGCGGACGGGUGAGUAACACGUGGGUAACCUGCCCAAGAGACUGGGAUAACACCUGGAAACAGAUGCUAAUACCGGAUAACAACACUAGACGCAUGUCUAGAGUUUGAAAGAUGGUUCUGCUAUCACUCUUGGAUGGACCUGCGGUGCAUUAGCUAGUUGGUAAGGUAACGGCUUACCAAGGCAAUGAUGCAUAGCCGAGUUGAGAGACUGAUCGGCCACAUUGGGACUGAGACACGGCCCAAACUCCUACGGGAGGCAGCAGUAGGGAAUCUUCCACAAUGGACGAAAGUCUGAUGGAGCAACGCCGCGUGAGUGAAGAAGGGUUUCGGCUCGUAAAGCUCUGUUGGUAGUGAAGAAAGAUAGAGGUAGUAACUGGCCUUUAUUUGACGGUAAUUACUUAGAAAGUCACGGCUAA
RNAcentral lists this ribosomal RNA (510 nucleotides) under Lactobacillus johnsonii. RNAcentral's name for it is "bacterial SSU rRNA". It matches the Rfam family "Bacterial small subunit ribosomal RNA", at positions 30 to 500 of the family's 1533-position model. The record is from RNAcentral. Lineage: Bacteria; Bacillati; Bacillota; Bacilli; Lactobacillales; Lactobacillaceae.